Triticum urartu is the source of this 3067-nucleotide long non-coding RNA. RefSeq lists it as uncharacterized. NCBI's taxonomy places the organism in Eukaryota, Viridiplantae, Streptophyta, Magnoliopsida, Poales, Poaceae. The record is from RefSeq and is a predicted model, not a curated record.
AGCCCACCCCGAACGGCACAAAAUAGGAAAAAAGAAAACCCACCCCAUCUUCCCCAUCUUGUCGUCGACCCACCACAUCCGGCACCCCGCUGCCGGCCACCUCCCGGCGCCCCGGCUUCUUGACCCGCCGCCAGCCACCUCCGGCGCCCCAACUUCUUGACCCGCCGCCAGCCACCUCACCAUGCCCCUGAUUCUUUCCCUGCCACCUCCCCGCGGCCCGACUUCUUUCCCGCCUCCGGCCUCCUCCUCGCGCCCCGGCUUCUUCCCGGCCGUCGGCCUCCUCCUCGCGCCCCAGCUUCUUCCCCGCCGCCGGCCUCCUCCUCUUGCCCCGACUUCUUCCCCGUUGCCGGCCUCCUCCUCGCGCCCCAGCUUCUUCCCCUCCGUUGGCCUUCUCGUCGCGUCCCGGCUUCUUCCCCGCCGGAGCGGCCAACCACAAGAUCCGGUCGCCACAUCCCCAUGACGCCCCCAGCAACGGCGCCCGGACCUCGACACCACCCGGCUCGGGGGACUCCAAGCCCCGGCGCUGCCGACCCCUGCACUACCUCAUCCGGCGACGAUCCACGCCAUCACUCUGCCUCGUUCCGGUGGGGGAUCCAUGGCCACUACGCCAGUCCAAUACCACCGCCGCAAGCCGGCCACAUCCACAAUGACCAGACCGGCUGCCCCGCGCCUCAGCCCCCCGUAUGCACGCCACCAAGUGCCUCUGUGCACUCCCCCCGCCUCCCCCAUCAGGUUGCAGCCCGAGCCACACGGUGCCGCAUCUUGUUGAGAUCACUGCCUUGCCGUGGUUCCAGCGGUACACAGGAGGAUGGAUGCCCUGGUGCCGUACGUCCAGUUUUGUCAGGUUUUGAUGCGAUGCUCUUCUGCUCAUGACGCUGGAGCCCUAGUGCCCCACUACACAUGAAACGAGAGACAUGUACAGAAGUUCACCUAAAAAAAGGCUAGCAGUUCUUCCCAAAGAGACAACAGUUCUAAGAAAAGAAGGUAGAAAAAAAGGGUAGCUCAACGUACAAAAAAUUGGAGGUUUAGAGACCACAAACAAAGACGAAAACAAUUUCAGUGGCACAAUCAGUUUAGUUUCUAUUUUUAGUUCAGUUCAAUUAUUAUUUUUAGUUUCGUUCAGUUCAAUAUUGUCAAUGAACUGAUAUACAUACAAAUAAGAAAUUAUAUUCAUUUAUUUGGUACAGACUUAGUUAUUAGUUUUGGAGACCAGAAUAUCAGUUCAGUUAUUUUAUCAUUUUGUACCGAUUCCACUCAUUGUAUGAACUGGUGCAUCACCAUGGAAGUAAAAAAGAAAGGAAACAUCAGUCCAGCUACUAGACAUGGAUGUGAUUUUCUAUGUAGAUAUCUAGCGGGAGCUGCAGCUGGUGAGCGUCUGUGCCCUGCUGAUUGCGUGCAAGUACGAUGAGAUUUGGGCUCCAGAGGGAUGGCAAUUUUUCCCAUGGGUAUGGGUACCCGUGGGUACCCUACCCGAAAACAAUGGGAAUGGGCAAGACUUGAAGAGAUUUUCUACCCACGGGUAAUGGGUACCCAUAUCCACAAAAUGUAUGGGUAGGGCAUGGGUAAGAAAUUGUGCCCAUGGGUAACCCAAUGGAUACCCAGAAAAAAAUAACAAAUGAAAAUAAUUCCUAUAACAUGUGGGGUUAACAUCCAACUCAUAUGGUCUAACCCUAAAUCUCGUAUUCCUUAAACAAGUCAUAGCUCAUAGGCUCAUAAUCACCUGCUUGCCACUCCUCAUACGUCCUAUGUGACUCCUCAAAAAUAUGAAAUAUCGACUCUUUGCUACCAGACUCUUGUCGAACACUCGAUCCAGCGAUCCCCAAUUCCCACCACCGCCUUCCACUACGUCGGCCUUCCACCAACCGCUGCUCAUACUCCCCUGAUGCCUCCAAGAGGCCACCCACUGGAGGAGGCCACAUACGUGCUAUAGUUCUCUACCAUGAUCACUUGAAUUUUGAACUCAUUUCUCUACCUCUUAAGAAUUUGAAUGCUAUAUAUUGUACCCAAUGGAUACCCAUUGGGUAUAGGAUACCCGAUGGGUAUGGGCAUGGGUGUCAGUUUAUACCCAUGGGUAUUGAAGUGGGUGGGUAUAAAAAAUUUCUAUGGGUAUGGGUUUGGGUAGAAGGAGGUUGUACCCGCCCAUACCCUACCCAUUGCCAUCCCUAUUUGUGCGCCAACCUGCAGGUGAAUGACUUCAAAUUGUUCUCCGACAACACAUAUACAGGGAGCAGAUUCUGAGGAUGGAGAAGGCAAUCCUGAACAUGCUUGAGUGGAACUUGACAGUGCCCACACCUUACGUCUUCCUUGUCCGAUUCGCCAAGGCCGCGUCCUCCUGAGAUAAGAAGAACGGCAAGGAGGUAAAAGGAACACCAGAUUUUUAGCAAAUUCUUCAGAUGUAGUACGUAUCUUCCAUUUUGCCAAAGCAGUGAGUCUAUGUGCUGAAGUUUCUCGCGUCUUCUCUUGGAUGUAUUUGUCUAAAUGGAGAGCACUGUCUUUUUUGUGUGGAGCUGGCGCUGCUGCAGUAUGGACAGGAACAAUGUGUUGAUGUCGAGCAAAACACAGAGACAAGGUUAGAAAGUUCAACAUGUGAUUGGAAUUCAGUGCGAAAAGCUGCAGGUGCGAGAUGGCGGCCGCCGACGUUGCUAAAUCCUUCUACAAACUAGUGGUUGGCUGCUUCGAGCGGUAAAUGUGGUCGGAUUCAGCAGCUAGCUCUUCCUCGAGCAACCAUUUGGAGAAUUUUAUUGUCUUCUUGUGGUGGUGAUUGAUUUUAGGAUCAGUAAAUUUGACAUUGGUAGCUAGCUUGCGUAUGGAACCUGCAAGUUCAAUAUUGGUAUUAGAUUUAGUUUCUUGUUGUACAAAUGUCCCAGUUCAGCUACAGAAAUCAUGCAGGUUUAGUGAUGAUGAUACCAUAAGUUCGGACAAGAAAAUUUAUGUAUAUGAUGAGAUGAUUGCUACUUCAAAGAAGGUAUAGUACAUGACAGCUUGAUGUGCAUACAAGAAUAAAGAAAAUGUUUGAAUCAAAAAUAUUGAUCAGUACUAAUUAAAAACAAUGAUUAGUUUUAAAAGA